This 624-nucleotide ribosomal RNA is filed under the name uncultured bacterium. RNAcentral's name for it is "bacterial SSU rRNA". It matches the Rfam family "Bacterial small subunit ribosomal RNA", at positions 152 to 774 of the family's 1533-position model. The record is from RNAcentral.
CGAAAGUAAGACUAAUACCCAAUGAUAUCUCUAGAAGACAUCUGAAAGGGAUUAAAGAUUUAUCGGUGAUGGAUGGGGAUGCGUCUGAUUAGCUUGUUGGCGGGGUAACGGCCCACCAAGGCAACGAUCAGUAGGGGUUCUGAGAGGAAGGUCCCCCACAUUGGAACUGAGACACGGUCCAAACUCCUACGGGAGGCAGCAGUGAGGAAUAUUGGUCAAUGGACGAGAGUCUGAACCAGCCAAGUAGCGUGCAGGAUGACGGCCCUAUGGGUCGUAAACUGCUUUUAUAAGGGAAUAAAGUGAGUCUCGUGAGAUUUUUUGCAUGUACCUUAUGAAUAAGGACCGGCUAAUUCCGUGCCAGCAGCCGCGGUAAUACGGAAGGUCCGGGCGUUAUCCGGAUUUAUUGGGUUUAAAGGGAGCGUAGGCCGGAGAUUAAGCGUGUUGUGAAAUGUAGAUGCUCAACAUCUGCACUGCAGCGCGAACUGGUUUCCUUGAGUACGCACAAAGUGGGCGGAAUUCGUGGUGUAGCGGUGAAAUGCUUAGAUAUCACGAAGAACUCCGAUUGCGAAGGCAGCACACUAAUCCGUAACUGACGUUCAUGCUCGAAAGUGUGGGUAUCAAACA